RNAcentral lists this microRNA precursor (105 nucleotides) under Canis lupus familiaris (dog). Its description in RNAcentral is "mir-8834 microRNA precursor family". It matches the Rfam family "mir-8834 microRNA precursor family". Lineage: Eukaryota; Metazoa; Chordata; Mammalia; Carnivora; Canidae. The record is from Rfam by way of RNAcentral.
AGGAGGAACAACCGCACUGGCAGGGUCAGCUCUGCAGCCCUGGAGUCAGCCCCUGCAGUAGCUCCAGAACUCUCUGUCUGCAGGGCCUGGAGGCUCGGGGCAGGG